CCUACGGGGGGCUGCAGUGGGGAAUAUUGGACAAUGGGGGCAACCCUGAUCCAGCCAUGCCGCGUGUGUGAAGAAGGCCCUCGGGUUGUAAAGCACUUUCAGUGAGGAAGAACGCCUGGUGGUUAAUACCCAUCAGGAAAGACAUCACUCACAGAAGAAGCACCGGCUAACUCCGUGCCAGCAGCCGCGGUAAUACGGAGGGUGCGAGCGUUAAUCGGAAUUACUGGGCGUAAAGCGCGCGUAGGUGGCUUGAUAAGCCGGUUGUGAAAGCCCCGGGCUCAACCUGGGAACGGCAUCCGGAACUGUCAAGCUAGAGUGCAGGAGAGGAAGGUAGAAUUCCCGGUGUAGCGGUGAAAUGCGUAGAGAUCGGGAGGAAUACCAGUGGCGAAGGCGGCCUUCUGGACUGACACUGACACUGAGGUGCGAAAGCGUGGGUAGCAAACAGGAUUAGAUACCCGAUAGUC
This 464-nucleotide ribosomal RNA is filed under the name Vreelandella stevensii. Its description in RNAcentral is "partial 16S ribosomal RNA". It matches the Rfam family "Bacterial small subunit ribosomal RNA", at positions 338 to 795 of the family's 1533-position model. The record is from RNAcentral. Lineage: Bacteria; Pseudomonadati; Pseudomonadota; Gammaproteobacteria; Oceanospirillales; Halomonadaceae.